ACCACACACACGGCACAAGAUGGCCGGAGAGGCAGCAGCACCCCGAGCUGUCAGGCUCUCCGCCGCGGCCGUCGGGUCCGCUGACCGGCGGGAAGCUGCACCAGGGCCGCUAGAAGGCCCUCGGGAGCGGGGCGGCCGCGGCUGAGGCGAGACGGGCCGCACGUCGGCGGCAGAUCCCGCGGUAGGGGUUCCCGAGGCGGCCGGGCCAGCGAUGCCGAAAGUCUCGCUGCGGCAGCGGCCGCGGAGGCUCCCCGGGGCCUCGUCGUCUCGGCCCGGCGCGGGCAGAAGGCUCGGGCGGGCGGCCCGGCCCGUACCUCGGCUGCAGGUGGCCAGGAGGUGCUAUCGGCCGCGCUCGGAACUGGUAACUUACAGGAUUGAAAUUAAUUUGGUUGUGGAUGGUUCUGAACAAAUACGGCUCUUUUGAGGUAUGCCAUUUUGAAAACAGAUGGAGUUGUAUCUUUGAGGAAAAGGAAGUUUUUGGAAAAGUGUAUAUUUUAUUCAGCAGGUAAGUAAAUAUUUUUAACCAACAUUUGUAUAGGAAAAUAUCACUAAAGUUUACCAAAGAAACGUAAACUGUAGACUCUUUAGUUCUAAAAAUGAGGAAAAGCCCAUCAGAAUCUUCUACCUUACGUCAAAACACUUUUGUAUUAAAACAGUCAGUGUAUGCCAUUUUUAUCGGAACAGAUAGGCAUUCCAUACUUACUCAUAAAAUAGUGCUUCAGGAUUAUGGUUAGAUCUGUAGUAGAUGUCAGAAUUAUGUCUUUACAAUCUGAAAUAUACUUUUUUAGCCUUUUUUUUUUUUUUUGGAUGGUACAGAAAACUGG
Long non-coding RNA from Trichechus manatus latirostris (Florida manatee), 824 nucleotides. RefSeq lists it as uncharacterized. The transcript has 3 exons. The record is from RefSeq and is a predicted model, not a curated record. Lineage: Eukaryota; Metazoa; Chordata; Mammalia; Sirenia; Trichechidae.